UACGUAGGGUGCGAGCGUUAAUCGGAAUUACUGGGCGUAAAGCGUGCGCAGGCGGUUUUGUAAGCCAGAUGUGAAAUCCCCGGGCUCAACCUGGGAAUGGCAUUUGGGACUGCAAGGCUGGAGUGCGGCAGAGGAGACUGGAAUUCCUGGUGUAGCAGUGAAAUGCGUAGAUAUCAGGAGGAACACCGAUGGCGAAGGCAAUCCCCUGGACCUGUACUGACGCUCAUGCACGAAAGCGUGGGGAGCAAACAGG
Molecule: ribosomal RNA, 253 nt
Filed under: uncultured bacterium
Lineage: Bacteria
Description: partial 16S ribosomal RNA
Rfam family: Bacterial small subunit ribosomal RNA
Source: RNAcentral